Molecule: long non-coding RNA, 3494 nt
Organism: Dromaius novaehollandiae (emu)
Lineage: Eukaryota; Metazoa; Chordata; Aves; Casuariiformes; Dromaiidae
Exons: 2
Source: RefSeq, a predicted model, not a curated record
AAUUAGGAUGCUUUUUCUAUAUUUUGUGGUAUAAAUAACAAAGUCACUGGCUAAUGGGAUCUUUAGAUGGACACAAUGAUCACUAGAAAAUAAUGUUGAAGUUUUAAGGGAAAGACAUCAUACAGUUAAUCUACCAAGAAACAAAAUAAAGCAGCUGUAGGACACCGUUAAUGUGUUAGAUUUUUGGUUAGCACAAAGAGUAACUCCUGUCCUUAAGCUGUAAUUUGUCCCUACAUCAGGCAUCUUGUAUCUCCAGGUAUGCCUUUCACAGAAUUAGGUGAUAAAGCAAAACUUAAUCUCUGCCUGAGCUAGUGAGAAGCCUCAACAUGGCUUUGUCUUGGUGUUUUUCCUGUCCUUUCUUUCCCUACAGCCUGAGCAAGUAGCAACUGACCAUGUCCUUUCCCCUCAUUUUAGCAAGAUGAUUUCUGCUCAUAAAUCCACCAUUUUGGGGGAUGGGAUGAACUCUCUUUUUCCUGUUCUCUUCCUAUCCCAGUCCAGGUUGGAGGACUGACUGGAGUAAAGCUUAUGAUUUGAACAGUCAACCUGGGGGAAGUACACACAAUAAAAUCCUUUCCUGGUUGAAUAGGCUUGCAGAAUGUCAACCAAUUUCCCCAGACAGCCAGGACCUUUAGGAGUCAUUCUAUAUCCUUUUAUUGCCGUUGCCAUAGUGAAAGACACUAAUUCAGCUUUGUGUGAAACUUAAUAAAAAUCAGCUCAUCAUUCACUUGUCUAUAGACCAUUAGAAAUGCUUGUGCUGAAUUUUAGAGACAGGCUAUUCAUAAUCUAUUAAUCCAAUAGUUGAAGAGUUGUUAUCUGAUUCACUUGUGCAGGAUCUUUAUAGAACACCAAAGAGUUUCUGUACUUGCUUUGACUCUAGUUGUCUGGAAAUAGGAAAAAAAGACAUGCAGUUACUGUGGUUUAAUUUAAGUGGCCAAGAUUACCUUUGGGCUAAGUGUACUUUGGUCUUCAGAGGAGAACAGAGCUGUCUGAGAAACCUCUGCAAAUUACUAAGAACACUAAAUUGAUCUGACACUAAUCAGAAAUAGUCUUUUACUGGCUAAAUUAAAGGGGCUAUUUUAUAGAUAACAAUGCCUCCAUUUGGGUUGUUAGGCAAGUUAACAAAGCAGCAUAUUGUGCAGAGCCAAAUUACAAAUGCCAGCAUGCUGUGGUUUGGUUUACCUGAGGUACGUGUUAUUGGUAGACAAAAUACAGUAUUUACACUGGAAGAGCUGCUUUCGAUUUGAAGGUGUAUUGCUACAAUGUCUGCUAUUGGGAGCCACUGAUCUUAAAACUUUAUUUCCUGGAAUUCUGUAAAACUAGCCCUAAAAAGGCAGGAGAAAAUAAACAGGAGGAAGCAAACUACUAUGAGCCGUAGAGUAUGAAUGUAGUAUUUUUUUGGUUUUUCAUUUACAUUGAAAGCUAUCUGUUCAAUGAUGUGGUUUUGCUUGCUGGAGUGUCUGAACAGUUUUAUAAUAAAUGAGUGCAUUUCUCAAAUAUAAGCUAACACAGCAGCUCUGUCUUCUGAGGUCAGACUUAAAUGAUUUCAAUCAAAGCAGUGUAUCGUACUCUGAAAAAUCUAGAUCAAAAAUACGUUUUUUGACUGACACUGAAAUGUAUUUAAAAAAAAAAAAGGCUCAAGAUACAUCUGACAUUCAUUUCUGGUUGCGAGCGCUUGACUCCGUCCAGUCUGAAAGCUUUCAUUUCAGACGCAGUUAUUGUAGGCAGGCUAAUCAAGGCGGAGGUGCCCUCGCUGGAAAGCGCCCCUGCCUUUCUCUCCGCUAGCGGCGUGGGCAGCAAGAAAGGCUGGGCCGGGGUGCCCAGCGCUGCCCUUGGCGGGGAUCCCCAUGGCAACAGGCAGCUGGUCCCUGGCCAGCCCCGCGCCCGGCCGGGCGGCAGCGGGAGCCGGCGCUCCGGGCCCCGCUGGGGAUCCCUGCAUUGUGUUCUGGGCAUAAAUGUUCUCAAUAGGAUUAGAAUGGAGAAGGGGCUAAAGGCUGUGGGAAAACCUGCGUGUGUCAUAUUUCUCUCGUCUGCUGUUGUUCCUGACCGUUUCCCCUCAGCUGACAAUAAGGUUAAAAAGUAAGAGCAAAUGUUGUGGUGGCUUGAUUUUGAAUUAUGUAUUCAUGAAUCUGCAUAAUAGCCUUUCAGGGGUGGUAUUGUUGUUUAAAGCACAAUCUGGGAAUUGUGAGAGGAGACGGGGGAGAAAGGGAUGGAGAAGCAGACAGUGAAAACAGGGAAAACUAAGACUUAAUCGGAGAGUGACAAAUUGUAUGAAAUGAGAUUUUCUUGCCUACUUGCUCUGUGCCUAAGAAACAAGUUUGCACUUGGAAAUGCUGACUUCUUUCACAAACUAAUAAUACCUCUGUUUUCUCUUUUGGCUAAGUGCUUAGACUGCUAAGAGGGAACGGAAUAACGUUACAAACACGGAUGUCUGGUCUUCUGAUUCUUGCUCAUUCAUGUGCUACCGGGUGUUCAUGUCUUUUACGCAGGAUCAUCAAUUUCAUCCAGUUGCUGUCAGCGGGUUCCAGCUGUGCCUCAGUGCAGAGAGCGCUGAAUCUCUCCAGGGAAAACCUGCGCUGACUCCUGUGGGGACGAGUCUGUUCCAUGUUCAGUCAAGAACACAGAUUCCGGCACAACCUUUCUUGUCUUGUGCACCCGCAGAAUCUCAAAUUGUCUUGGCUGUUGCACGUCUUGCUGCCUUCAUUCAAUUUUCAAUAGCACAGUAACCGCUGCUUCAGGUGGCCAGAGCCUAAAACACUGGAAGUGCUUCAAAGGAUGCAAAUCAUCACAUAGGCCUUAAUCUUCCAGGUUUUUUUAGAACUCUUCAGAGGCCUAAGUUACUUUCUUAAGUGGCAGUUAAGGUGAUGCUUAAGGUGAUACAUCAGGAAUGCAUAACAGGAAGAGGCUGAAGCUGUUAUUGCUGGGACUAAUGUCAAGAUUUCAGUGGGAACUGGUAUAGAGCUGUGUAUCAAUAACGAUUUACAGAUUGGCACCUGGGGACAAAUUCUGGCCUUUAAAUGUUUCAGUCAAUGCAUCAGCACUGCUCUUAACCACUCCAGGGCAGAGGCCUUAAGGUUUACCAGCAGGGCUUUUAAUUACCUUGAUCUAUUUUCAGUAGAUGAUAGGCAACUGAGAUGCACAAUAUUGCCAUUUUCUCUUGGCCUUUUUUUAACAGUAUUGUGUGGUUAGAGCUGGUGGAAAAGAUUCAAUUGCAAAAAGAAAAUGUGAAAAUACAUAGAUUUUUUUUUAAUUCCAAACUUAAAUUUAAUGAAAAUGUAGUUAUUGCUUUCUUUAUUUAUUUCAAAUAGCUCUUUCAUGUGUUGGGACAAAGGGGCAUUGUAUUAAUUGUGAAGUGUGAAAUGUUUUUCUUGUUUGCUUGCAACAACAACUGGGAAUACAUGGAUUUGCCUAUUCAUGCUUCAUUGUUAUGACAACAUUUUUUCACAAAGUAUUUGAAAGCCAGAGCUAUGAAAGGAAUAAAGUUGGCUAUAAAUCUG